AUUGAACGCUGGCGGCAUGCCUUACACAUGCAAGUCGAACGGUAACGCGGGGCAACCUGGCGACGAGUGGCGAACGGGUGAGUAAUAUAUCGGAACGUGCCCAGUAGUGGGGGAUAGCCCGGCGAUAGCCGGAUUAAUACCGCAUACGACCUACGGGUGAAAGCAGGGGAUCGCAAGACCUUGCGCUAUUGGAGCGGCCG
RNAcentral lists this ribosomal RNA (200 nucleotides) under uncultured bacterium. Its description in RNAcentral is "partial 16S ribosomal RNA". It matches the Rfam family "Bacterial small subunit ribosomal RNA", at positions 30 to 232 of the family's 1533-position model. The record is from RNAcentral.